This 30-nucleotide non-coding RNA is filed under the name Rattus norvegicus (Norway rat). Lineage: Eukaryota; Metazoa; Chordata; Mammalia; Rodentia; Muridae. The record is from RNAcentral.
UUUUAUUAGCACUAAGGAAACAGCCUAUAU